UGGGGGAUAUUGCACAAUGGGCGAAAGCCUGAUGCAGCGACGCCGCGUGGGGGAUGAAGGCCUUCGGGUUGUAAACUUCUUUUGCUCUGAACAAGGCGCACCAUGGGGUGUGUUGAGUGUAGGGGUUGAUUAGCGCCGGCUAACUACGUGCCAGCAGCCGCGGUAAUACGUAGGGCGCGAGCGUUGUCCGGAAGUAUUGGGCGUAAAGGGCUUGUAGGUGGCUGGUUGCGUCUGUCGUGAAAGCUCAUGGCUUAACUGUGGGUUUGCGGUGGGUACGGGCUGGCUUGAGUGCAGUAGGGGAGGCUGGAAUUCCUGGUGUAGCGGUGGAAUGCGCAGAUAUCAGGAGGAAUACCGGUGGCGAAGGCGUGUCUCUGGGCUGUUACUGACACUGAGGAGCGAAAGCAUGGGGAGCGAACAGG
Molecule: ribosomal RNA, 419 nt
Filed under: bacterium
Lineage: Bacteria
Description: partial 16S ribosomal RNA
Rfam family: Bacterial small subunit ribosomal RNA
Source: RNAcentral